GGCGGUAGUUUCGUUUGGGGAAGAUGUAGAGAAGGAAAAAGAGGAUGAGUUUGUCAUGGAAAUUCCUGAUGGUCUUGAGUUUAUAGAGGAAGAGUUUAUAGAGCCUAUGGCGGAGUCAGAUAUUUCUGAUAGCGACGAUAUCGGAUCUCUAGAGGAGCCCGUAGAGUUACUCUCAGAACGGGAAAUAACGGAACUCGAGAAGGAUCUAGCGGACAUUGACGUCCACCCCUAAAUACGAAC
Molecule: long non-coding RNA, 240 nt
Organism: Bolinopsis microptera
Lineage: Eukaryota; Metazoa; Ctenophora; Tentaculata; Lobata; Bolinopsidae
Exons: 3
Source: RefSeq, a predicted model, not a curated record